GUGGGUGUAGAUCAGCGGUAGAAUGUGUGCUUAGCAUGCAUAAGGUCUUGGGUUCAAACCCCAGUACUUCCA
RNAcentral lists this transfer RNA (72 nucleotides) under Camelus bactrianus (Bactrian camel). It matches the Rfam family "tRNA". Rfam says of the family: Transfer RNA (tRNA) molecules are approximately 80 nucleotides in length. Their secondary structure includes four short double-helical elements and three loops (D, anti-codon, and T loops). The record is from Rfam by way of RNAcentral. RNAcentral also lists the same sequence under 1 other name. Lineage: Eukaryota; Metazoa; Chordata; Mammalia; Artiodactyla; Camelidae.